GCGUACACAGAAGACAUGCUGAACUAAACAGCAAAGCACCUUGGGUGCUGUGGAGCUCAAUCGCUUCAUGUCAAAUGCCAGGGAUGCCAGGUGCCCAAAGAAUGUGGAUCGGCCCAGCAUUUUGUUCCACCCCAGAACCAGGCUUCUGGUAUUGAAGAGUGAUAUCCUUCUGUUGGAAGCAGUUCAGUUUCUAUUUAUGGGAGGCAGUGUUCUCAAAGUGUAGAUCUCCAGGACACCUGCAUUAGAAUCCUGGAGGGCUUGUAAAAAUGCAAAUGUCUGACUCCCAGGAAUU
This 292-nucleotide long non-coding RNA is filed under the name Sus scrofa (pig). RNAcentral describes it as "lncRNA (ENSSSCG00015016935.1)". The record is from RNAcentral. Lineage: Eukaryota; Metazoa; Chordata; Mammalia; Artiodactyla; Suidae.